Molecule: ribosomal RNA, 494 nt
Filed under: uncultured bacterium
Lineage: Bacteria
Description: partial 16S ribosomal RNA
Rfam family: Bacterial small subunit ribosomal RNA
Source: RNAcentral
GACGAACGCUGGCGGCGUGCUUAACACAUGCAAGUCGAACGGUGAAGCGCCUUCCUUUUUGGUGGGUGUGGAUGAGUGGCGAACGGGUGAGUAACACGUGAGUAACCUGCCCCCUUCUUCUGGAUAACCGCAUGAAAGUGUGGCUAAUACGGGAUAUUCUGGGUCUGUCGCAUGAUGGGUCUGGGAAAGAUAUUGUUUCGGUGGGGGAUGGCCUCGCGGCCUAUCAGCUUGUUGGUGGGGUGAUGGCCUACCAAGGCGGUGACGGGUAGCCGGCCUGAGAGGGUGGACGGUCACACUGGGACUGAGACACGGCCCAGACUCCUACGGGAGGCAGCAGUGGGGAAUAUUGCACAAUGGGCGCAAGCCUGAUGCAGCGACGCCGCGUGAGGGAUGGAGGCCUUCGGGUUGUGAACCUCUUUCGCCAGUGAAGCAGGCCUGCCUCGUUUGUGGGUGGGUUGACGGUAGCUGGAUAAGAAGCGCCGGCUAACUACGUG